AGUGAACGCUGGCGGCGUGCCUAAUACAUGCAAGUCGAACGGAGCGGCGCACGGGUGAGUAAUGUAUAGCUAAUCUGCCCUACACUAGAGGACAACAGCUGGAAAAGACUGCUAAUACUCUAUAGUGUAGGAGGAGGCUAUAUUGGAUCAGCUAGCUGGUGAGGUAAUGGCUCACCAAGGGUAUGACGCAUAACUGUUCUGAGAGGAUGAGCAGUCACACUGGAAGUGAGACACGGGCCAGACUCCUACGGGAGGGAGCAGUAGGGAAUAUUGCUCAAUGGGGGAAACCCUGAAGCAGCAACGCGGCGUGGAGGAUGGCACUUUUCGGAGCGUAAACUCCUUUUGUUAGGGAAACGGUACCUAACGAAUAAGCACCGGCUAACUCCGUGCCAGCAGCCGCGGUAAUAC
Molecule: ribosomal RNA, 408 nt
Filed under: uncultured bacterium
Lineage: Bacteria
Description: partial 16S ribosomal RNA
Rfam family: Bacterial small subunit ribosomal RNA
Source: RNAcentral